GACGAACUACAUGCCUUUGACCACGACCAUGACUUUUGACCCUACUCGGACUAAUGAGAAUAUGGGGAUUAGCACGAAGUGGGCAACGCCAUUGCCAAAGCACAGCAGUGGAGAAGCGAGACUCAUGAGCGGGCUCAGGCUACCUAGCACAGGCGGGGGAGGGGAUGUGUGGCUGACGAGAAGAGUAGGCCCUGUUGUCUUAAAGUACAGACAGGUUUUACGGUCGGCGGUUUGCAGCUGUUGUCCUCCAGAAACAUAUUUAGGGUGAUGUGGAAAGCAGACUGCAGAGAAUACCUACUGACUGGGUUUGAGGAUCCCAUGAGAUCCAAACUACACAGUACAUGAUAUAUCAUCUAAGACGUUCCCUCUUUCUGACAUGUGGUUCCCAGCAGGAGAGGCCACUGGAGAGAUCAGGGAGACUGUUGAAAGAAAACACCUCCAGUGGUGAAGGCUGGUCUGAAGACAAAGGCAGCAAGUCAUUGCGUACUUGGACAGGAAGACCAGUCACCGCUCCUCCAAAACAACUGCGGAGUCUGUGGUUUGUUUUUCCUGUUCUGCCAAAUUCUAAAUGGAGAAAGGGACGGGGGUGAGUUCAGACGACCGUCGCGGGCAAGAUGGCAGACGCCGCCAUACUGACCUCAUACGCCACCGUUUCCCCCGGGCUGUCGAGCUUCUCAAACACCGCCUCCCGCUUUUCGGGACGGACUUCGAUCAGGUUGUGCCUGAGGUUGACGUUCAGGUCCCUGCUCUUCACCAGCUUCCACAGUGCGUCAGCGUACUUCUUAACCCCAAAUAUCACUGGCAGGGAAGUGUUGUAUAGGAUGUUGGCUCUGGGCCUCUUUCCUGUCUUGUAGAGGAGAACAAAAGUGAGGUGCUUUUGAGGUAGAAAAACUAGUUUAGCUGACCUUUCCCCACACAGACUCUACAAUCUCACCCCACUUCCUGCCUUACAAUUUCAAUUCGGCUUUAACACUUCACUUUCAUCAUAUCAAAACGAAACCAGAGAGGAGACAGUGUUUUUCUAAAAUAUACCAGAACAUAGAGAGGCAGAGGGAAGUACGGUGGUGCAGUCAGGAGCGCUGUCGUCUCACAGCAAGAAUGUAAAAGUUGAAAGCCGAGGGCCUUUCUGUGUGGAGUUUGCAUGUUCUCCUGAUGUCUGCGUGGGUUUCCACCCACAGUCCAAAGACAUGCAGGUUAGGUUAACUGGGCAGUCUGCAUUAUCUGUGGGGUAUGAAUAGGUGAGAGAAUGGUGUCUGGGUGGAUUGGUGACCUGUCCAGGGUGUAUUCUUGCCUCACCCAAGGUCUGCUGGGACAGGCUCCAGCCCCCCAACAACCCUGACCAGGAGUAAGCAGUUUAUAAAAUGGUAGAGCGUAUAAUGACAGAAACAGACCAGUUAAGUCAAAUUAUUUGGUCUAUUGCCUGCAGCAUAGUGUGAACGUGUCACUGUUUCAUAUUUACACUACAUGGCCAAAAGUAUGUGGACACCUGACAUCCAACAUUGCAUCCAAAAUUACUGGCUUUAAUAUGGAGUUGGUCCACCUUCUGCUGCUAUAAUAACCUCCACUCUUAUGGGAAGGCUUUAUACUAGAUGUUGGAUCAUUGCUGUUGGGAUUUGCUUCCAUUCAGCCAGAAGAACAUUAGUGAGGUUGGGCAAUUAUUGGGUGAUUAGGCCUUGCACGCGUUGGCUGCUCCCAAAGGUAUCGGAUGCGGUUGAGGUCCGGGCUCUGCAGGCCAGUCAGGUUCUUCCACACCGUUUGACAAAACCAUUUCUACAUGGACCUUGCAGUGUGCUCAGGGGCAUUGUGCUGAAAUAGAAAAAGGGCCUUCCCCAAGCUGUUGGGGAAGCACAGAAUCGUCUAGAAUGUGGUUGUAUGCUGUAGUAUUAAAAUUUCCUUUCACUGGAACUAAGGGGCCUAGCCCAAACCAUGGAAAACAGCCCCAGACCAAGGGGUGUCCAGAUACUUUUGGUCAUAUCGUGUAGGUCUGGAAAGAUCCGAGUGUUCUUCCUCUGCCUGUUAUUGACAACUCUCAUCUGUAGUGUUGGGGGUGAACUGUACUUUGAUUCAUAGUAACAAGGCAUUUGUAAGGCAGAAAGUUGGGGCAUUGCACGUGUGUUAUUGCGCAUCUUGAAUGUGAUUCCCAACCUUUCGAAAGUAGGCAUCAGAGAGGUACAUGAUCUUUUGAGGUGCACCUGCACACUUCACAGGGGUGUUGGGGAAGGUGAAAAUGGCAUUUCCCUCCUUGAAGUCCUGCAGGGCUUUCCAAGUCUUCUCCACUGUCUCUACAGAGUAGUUUGAACCUAUUU
Anguilla rostrata (American eel) is the source of this 2306-nucleotide long non-coding RNA. RefSeq lists it as uncharacterized. Lineage: Eukaryota; Metazoa; Chordata; Actinopteri; Anguilliformes; Anguillidae. The transcript is spliced from 2 exons. The record is from RefSeq and is a predicted model, not a curated record.